CACCUGCAUUUGUUGUAACCUCUAGAACUAAAAAGAGGAUCGGGAAUUAUCUUUUGCAUCUCAUAGAUAUGGCAUUACCUAGAGACUCAUCAUAUCUCUUUGGCUCAAUGCUUUCUGUCAGGUUCUCAAUGAUAAAGGCUAUGAUGGUACAACAGCUGAUAUAUGGUCUUACGGAGUUAUCCUUUUUGUUCUUAUGGAUGGUCACUUGUCGUUUGAAGAGUCUAAUCUUGGAGUUAUGCAUGAGAAUGUUCUAAUAAAGCUUGGAUGAAUCGCGGAGCGAAAAGAGAAGAAAAAUGGUGGAAAGCCGACAAAGAAUCCCGCAAGAAGGCAGCGAAGAAUGUUGUGCGCAAGACUCAGAGGCUAGAAAUGGGCUUAGAUGGAAGAAUUUCUCUUAAAAGAUGAAGUGGGCUUAGCAAGACCAAGGCCCAAACUCUAGACCAAACUCUAACACAAGUCCUAGACCAAGCCCAAAGCCCAGAUAAACUAAAGCCGUCCGAUUUGAUCUGUCAUCACCGCAUCCAACGUUCCUCCUCGCCAGACAUCAAAACCGCUGAUUCCGCCUAACACCAGAGCACCUAACCCUUUCCCUUCACCAAAACAGUCGAGCCAAACAUCCCCUUCCUCAAACUCCAUCGAUCUCUUAUCUCCUCCCUCACCUCUGCAACACCACCAUUCCCUGCCACCGCCGUUUCUCUGCCGCAGCCGCCUUCACAAUCCCUCCACAGCCACCCUAUUCCACCUAUAACCAAAACCCAUCACACCCAUCAUCCCCUAAUGUCGACCAACCCAUUUCCUUGACUUCAGAACCCCUAUUCUCUGUUAGGGUUUUGAAGUGGAAGAACUAGGUUGAGGGACAUGGACAUAGGAAACUGAAGAUGGAGCGUAGCAUCAUGGAGAGGAGCAACAACAGGAGCAGACAAUAUGGGUAAGCAAUUGUCCCAUCAAUUUCUCGAAUUUUGAUGUAACCCUAAACCCUAAUUUUACUGUUGCUAUUUGGGAAUUGGGGAAAUUGUAUGAACCCCAGAAUUUUGGGUAUAAAUUGAAUGUGUGUGUGGGUGUUGGAAGGGCAUGCCUGGGUUAGCCAGAGCUCAACCCUAGAGGACUGGAUUAGCCAGUGCCCUUCACUGGUAACUCUUGUUCGAUUUUAAGUUCAGUGCAUUCCCAUUUCAAUUGUUAA
Papaver somniferum (opium poppy) is the source of this 1177-nucleotide long non-coding RNA. RefSeq lists it as uncharacterized. The record is from RefSeq and is a predicted model, not a curated record. NCBI's taxonomy places the organism in Eukaryota, Viridiplantae, Streptophyta, Magnoliopsida, Ranunculales, Papaveraceae. The transcript has 2 exons.